This 85-nucleotide transfer RNA is filed under the name Natronospirillum sp. RNAcentral's name for it is "tRNA-Tyr". It matches the Rfam family "tRNA". From Rfam's summary of the family: Transfer RNA (tRNA) molecules are approximately 80 nucleotides in length. Their secondary structure includes four short double-helical elements and three loops (D, anti-codon, and T loops). Lineage: Bacteria; Pseudomonadati; Pseudomonadota; Gammaproteobacteria; Oceanospirillales; Natronospirillaceae. The record is from RNAcentral.
GGAGGGGUUCCCGAGUGGCCAAAGGGAGCAGACUGUAAAUCUGCCGCAAUAUGCUUCGGAGGUUCGAAUCCUCCCCCCUCCACCA